UUUCGCACUUUGAAUCCAGGAGACAUAGUCAGGAUAUUGUGCUCGAUCGUCUCUCUCAAUUGAAGAAAUAUUAAUUCAUCAAGCGUGUGUUUUGGCUGUUUUUUUUUCCGGCCAUCAGCCAGCGAUUUUUUUUUCCUGCAUUGUGAUGUUAAUUUGUUGCCAAAUAGUUGAGUGUCGUUGUAGCCGUUCCGUUGUUAGGCCUAUUGCGGAAGGAGAAUAUGCGCCACCUGCUGCUUACGAGAAGAAGUACGACGGUUAGCCUACUUCCAGUACGCCAAUGUCCCCAGCCAAUAAUACGAAUACGAAUUCGGAUACAAUCGGGAUUUCCACGCGUGGAAAUGCUCAACACAUACCGCGACUAAUAGUUCGAGCAGUCCAAGGAUAGCCGUUUACGCAUCAAGGUCAUAUGUCAUCUAUUAUUCAAUUCCAUUUCCCGCAGUAAUAAAUAUCCGUAGCCUAUUUGAGUAAAUCAGGUCAAGUGGAAUGACGCCUAUAUACUUUCGAUAUGGUGAGCACUAUAUACUGGGAAUACAACCAUCCAUGCUGAUGCUGGAUAUAAAGCUCCUUCAUUCGAUGCCCCAGCUUACUCCGCACCGGGUUAUUCUGAGUCCUACAUCUCAUCUUUCGAGCCAGCAGCUCCAUCAGCAGCUGCUGGUUAACAAUAGGGAUCGUCGCGUUGCUGCCCACAAUGACUUAUGCUGCUGCUGGUGCGCUGCCUCCUCCGAGAAAGCCUAUUCUAUACUAUUUAAAAU
Daphnia pulicaria is the source of this 752-nucleotide long non-coding RNA. RefSeq lists it as uncharacterized. The transcript has 3 exons. The record is from RefSeq and is a predicted model, not a curated record. Lineage: Eukaryota; Metazoa; Arthropoda; Branchiopoda; Diplostraca; Daphniidae.